CCUACGGGAGGCAGCAGUGGGGGAUAUUGCACAAUGGGGGAAACCCUGAUGCAGCGACGCCGCGUGGGUGAAGAAGCGCCUCGGCGCGUAAAGCCCUGUCAGCAGGGAAGAAAAUGACGGUACCUGAAGAAGAAGCCCCGGCUAACUACGUGCCAGCAGCCGCGGUAAUACGUAGGGGGCAAGCGUUAUCCGGAUGUACUGGGGGUAAAGGGGGCGCAGACGGCGAUGCAAGCCAGGAGUGAAAGCACGGGGCCCAACCCCGGGAUUGCUCUGGGAACUGGGUGGAUAGAGUGCAGGAGGGGCAGGCGGAAUUCGUGGUGUAGCGGUGAAAUGCGUAGAUAUCAGGAGGAACACCGGUGGCGAAGGCGGCCUGCUGGACUGCAACUGACGUUGAGGCCCGAAAGCGUGGGGAGCAAACAGGAUUAGAUACCCGUGUAGUC
This 440-nucleotide ribosomal RNA is filed under the name uncultured bacterium. RNAcentral describes it as "partial 16S ribosomal RNA". It matches the Rfam family "Bacterial small subunit ribosomal RNA", at positions 338 to 795 of the family's 1533-position model. The record is from RNAcentral.